RNAcentral lists this ribosomal RNA (2383 nucleotides) under Gammaproteobacteria bacterium. Its description in RNAcentral is "partial 23S ribosomal RNA". It matches the Rfam family "Bacterial large subunit ribosomal RNA", at positions 502 to 2925 of the family's 2925-position model. Lineage: Bacteria; Pseudomonadati; Pseudomonadota; Gammaproteobacteria. RNAcentral also lists the same sequence under 1 other name. The record is from RNAcentral.
CGUGAGGGAAAGGUGAAAAGAACCCCGGGAGGGGAGUGAAAUAGUACCUGAAACCGUAGACCUACAAGCAGUGGGAGCCUGUAUUUAUAUGGGUGACGGCGUGCCUUUUGUAGAAUGAGCCUGCGAGUUACCGUAUGUAGCAAGGUUAAGGGAUAGAAGUCCCGGAGCCGAAGGGAAACCGAGUCUGAAUAGGGCGAAUGAGUUGCGUGCGGUAGACCCGAAGCCGAGUGAUCUAUUUAUGGCCAGGUUGAAGCUUGGGUAAAACCAAGUGGAGGACCGAACACUAGUCUGUUGAAAAAGGCAGGGAUGAGCUGUGGAUAGGAGUGAAAGGCUAAUCAAACUCGGAGAUAGCUGGUUCUCCUCGAAAUAGCUUUAGGGCUAGCCUCGAGUUAGUUUGCCGGAGGUAGAGCACUGAUUGGGCUAGGGCCUGUCACAGGGUACCAAACUCAGUCAAACUCCGAAUGCCGGUAAAUGAUGCUCGGGAGUCAGACUACGGGUGAUAAGAUUCGUGGUCGAAAGGGAAAGAGCCCAGACCGUCAGCUAAGGUCCCUAAACACUACUAAGUGGGAAAGGAAGUGUAAUGGCGAAGACAGCCAGGAGGUUGGCUUAGAAGCAGCCAUUCCUUGAAAGAGUGCGUAACAGCUCACUGGUCGAGUCAUUAUGCGCCGACAAUGUAACGGGGCUAAGUAGUGUACCGAAGCUACGGAUUGUACAGUUUACUGUACAGUGGUAGAGGAGCAUUCCGUGUACUGAAGAAGGUGUGCUGUGAGGCAUGCUGGAGGGGACGGAAGAGAGAAUGCAGGCAUGAGUAACGAAAAGACAGGUGAGAUCCCUGUCCGCCGAAAGCCUAAGGUUUCCUGGGUAAAGGUAAUCUGCCCAAGGGUUAGUCGGCCCCUAAGACGAGGCUGAAAAGCGUAGUCGAUGGGAAGCAGGUUAAUAUUCCCGCACCUCUUACAGUUUUGAUGGAAUGACGCAUGAGGAGAAGCGCGGCCGGGCGAUGGUAGUCCCGGUCUAAGCACUCGAGCCGUAGAAGAGAGUAGGCAAAUCCGCUUUCUGAGNNNNNNNNNNNNNNNNNNNNNNNGCCGAGAAAGAAUCUCUAAGGUUAGGCUGUAAGGGACCGUACCGCAAACCGACACAGGUAGGCGAGAUGAGAAUUCUAAGGCGUACGGGAGAACUCGCGUUAAGGAACUCGGCAAAAUACAUACGUAACUUAGGGAGAAGUAUGGCCUUGGAUGGAUGUCAAAGUUUGUCUAAGGUUGCAGAGAAUAGGCCAAAGCGACUGUUUACCAAAAACACAAGUCUCUGCGAAAUUGCAAAAUGAAGUAUAGGGACUGACACCUGCCCGGUGCUGGAAGGUUAAGAGGAGAUGUGCAAGCUUCGAAUUGAAGCCCCAGUAAACGGCGGCCGUAACUAUAACGGUCCUAAGGUAGCGAAAUUCCUUGUCGGGUAAGUUCCGACCCGCACGAAUGGUGUAACGACUUGGGCGCUGUCUCAACGCGAGGCCCGGUGAAAUUGUAGUAUCGGUGAAGAUGCCGAUUACCUGUGGUUAGACGGAAAGACCCCGUGAACCUUUACUGCAGCUUGGCAUUGAACUGUGGCCUGAUAUGUGUAGGAUAGGUGGGAGACUAUGAAACCUGGUCGCUAGGCUGGGUGGAGUCGUUGGUGAAAUACCACCCUUGUCAGGUUAUAUUUCUAACGGUAUCCGUGAUCCGGGUACUGGACAAUGUCAGAUAGGCGGUUUGACUGGGGCGGUCGCCUCCCAAAGAGUAACGGAGGCGCGCGAAGGUGGGCUCAGGCUGGUCGGAAAUCAGACUGUGAGUGCAAUGGCAUAAGGGUGCUUGACUGCGAGACUUACAAGUCGAGCAGGUACGAAAGUAGGUCUUAGUGAUCUGGCGGUUCCGAGUGGAAGGGCCGUCACUUAACGGACAAAAGGUACUCCGGGGAUAACAGGCUGAUCUUGCCCAAGAGUUCAUAUCGACGGCAAGGUUUGGCACCUCGAUGUCGGCUCAUCGCAUCCUGGGGCUGGAGCAGGUCCNNUUAAAGCGGUACGUGAGCUGGGUUCAGAACGUCGCGAGACAGUUCGGUCCCUAUCUGCCACAGGCGUUGGAUGUUUGAGAGGAUCUGUCUUUAGUACGAGAGGACCGAGAUGGACGAACCUCUGGUGUACCAGUUGUCGUGCCAACGGCAUGUGCUGGGUAGCUAAGUUCGGAAGGGAUAACCGCUGAAGGCAUCUAAGUGGGAAGCCCCCCUCAAGAUGAGACAUCCCCGGCACUUUAAGUGCCCUGAAGGUACCAGAGAGAAGAUCUGGUUGAUAGGCUGGCGGUCUAAGCAUGGCAACAUGUUGAGCCGACCAGUACUAAUGAGCCGUGCGGCUUGACCAUAU